Molecule: long non-coding RNA, 1323 nt
Filed under: Canis lupus familiaris (dog)
Lineage: Eukaryota; Metazoa; Chordata; Mammalia; Carnivora; Canidae
Description: lncRNA (ENSCAFG00030022213.1)
Source: RNAcentral
UCCCCCAAGCGCCCCCCUCGGUCCCCUGUGGACCAAAGGCCCAGGCAGUCGCGGACGCAGGGGCUCCGGGAGUCCCCGCCUGCGUCCCGGCCCGGGGCUGGGAGUCCCCAUCCCGGCGCGCUCGCGCCCUCGCCCUCCUUUCCCCUUCGCUCGGCGACGGCAAGCCCAGCCGGUUUACCUUCCCGGUCCCGUCCGGACCUCGGUGCCCAGCUCCGCGGCUGCCCCGUCACCAGCACCAGCCUCUUCUGGGUCGCUCCGGGGGGUCGCCCGAAGCCGCGGAGCCUCCGCCCGCCGCGCGCCCCCACGGCCUGGGCGGUCCUGCCCCCGCCGCGCCCCCGGGCCCGGGUCUCACUAGCGCCCACCGACUUUGCACAACAGCCCCUCCGCGCCGCCAGGCUGCAGCCCGGGCUCACGGCACCCGGCCCCUUCCUCCGCAUCUUCCGCGCCUGCCCUGCUCUCCCCGGCUCCCGGCGACCCCGCGCCUCCCAGGUCGCGCCGCCGCGACCCCCCGACUCACCGCGGGCCCCGCGCCGCCGCCGGGUCUGCGCGCGCCGAGGCGGAGCCAGGGCGCCCCCCCCCCCGCGCGAGCGCCGCCCCCCGCGCCCCCCGCGCCCCCGCCCACGCCUUCUGGCCCCUCGGCCCGCCCGCGCUGCGGGGGCGGUCGGGACUCACCUCCCGGACAAGGUGACCCGGCCGGUGCGCCCCGGCGGCCGCCCGCGCGUCUCCGGAGCCAGCGAGCCUGCGGGGCGCGGGGCGGUGCGGCGCCCGCCUCUGCUCGGCUCCCGGCUCUCCCCUCCUGCGCCCCGCCCCCGCCUCCCAGCGCCGCUCCCCGCCCCGAGCUCGCCGCCGGCGCCCCCGCUGCCCCGCGCGCGCCAGAGGGGGCCGCGGAGAGCUCGCGCCGAGGCGACGGGGCGGGGCCCGGCCCUCCAGCCCCAGGCGACCGAGCGGGUGCGGGGAGACUCCCGCGGCGCGCACGGGGCUGGGGGGGGCGGGGGCCCGGCCCGGCUCGGCUCGGCUCGGCUCGCCCAGCCUGGUGACCGGCGCGCCGGCCGCGGUGGCCGCGGGCUCCGGGGGAGGGUGACAGCGAGGGCGAGGACGGCCCCGUGCGGAGGCAGCCGCCGACUUUGCCCCCGGCCGACAGGCCCCCCGGGGGUGUCACGUCCGUGGGUGGCCCGGGGCCAGGGUCUGGGACUGUGCGGGCUACAGAGACUGGGGGUGGGAGGAGCCCCUGGGUACUCCGAGGACGAGGUAGCAGCCUGGCUCCGAGAGGAGAUGAUUCCCCUCGGUCCUAAAGGCCUCCCCAAGGCUCCUGCAAGGUUUUGA